This is a long non-coding RNA of Sapajus apella (tufted capuchin), 498 nucleotides long. RefSeq lists it as uncharacterized. NCBI's taxonomy places the organism in Eukaryota, Metazoa, Chordata, Mammalia, Primates, Cebidae. The transcript has 3 exons. The record is from RefSeq and is a predicted model, not a curated record.
UGUGUUUUUGAGUGAGAUUCUUAAUCCUGAGUUAUAAUUUGAUUGCAGUGUGUUCUGAGAGGCUGUUAGGGUAUCAAUUCUUUUGCAUUUGCUGAGCAAUGAUUUACUUCCAAUUAUGUGAUCAAUUUUAGAGUAAGUGCCAUGUGGCACCAAGAAGAAAGCAUAUUCUGUUGUUUUAGAAUGGAGAGUUCUGUAGCUAUCUCUCAGGUUCACUUGAUCUAGAACUAAGUUCAAGUCCUGAAUAUCUUUGUGAAUUCUUUGUUUCAAAGAUUUGUCUAAUAUUGACAGUGGAGUGUUAAAGUCUCCCACUCUUACUGUGUUGGAGUCUAAGUAUCUUUGAAGGUCUCUAAGAACUUGUUUUAUGAAUUGGGUGCUCCUGCAUUGGGUGUAUUUAUAUUUAUCAUAGUUAGCCCUUCUUAUUGAAUUGACUCCUUUACCAUUAUGUAAUACCUUCUUUGUCUUUUAUGACUUUGUUUGUUUAAAGUCUGUUUUGUCAGA